RNAcentral lists this ribosomal RNA (440 nucleotides) under uncultured archaeon. RNAcentral describes it as "bacterial SSU rRNA". It matches the Rfam family "Archaeal small subunit ribosomal RNA", at positions 19 to 458 of the family's 1478-position model. The record is from RNAcentral.
GGAGGUUACUGCUAUCGGUGUUCGCCUAACCCAUGCGAGUCAUAUGUUCUUCGUGAACAUGGCGUACUGCUCAGUAACACGUGAAUAACCUGCCCUUGGGACCGGCAUAACCCCGGGAAACUGGGGAUAAUUCCGGAUACCGCAUAUAUGCUGGAAUGCUUUAUGCGUGAAAUGGAUUCGUCUGCCCAAGGAUGGGUCUGCGGCCUAUCAGGUAGUAGUGGGUGUAAUGUACCUACUACCCUACAACGGGUACGGGUUGUGAGAGCAAGAGCCCGGAAAUGGAUUCUGAGACAUGAAUCCAGGCCCUACGGGGCGCACCAGGCGCGAAAACUCUACAAUGCGGGAAACCGUGAUAAGGGGACACCGAGUGCCAGCAACAUUUGUUGGCUGUCCAGGUGUGUAAACUACACCUGCUAGCAAGGGCCGGGCAAGACCGGUGC